This is a long non-coding RNA of Gymnogyps californianus (California condor), 353 nucleotides long. RefSeq lists it as uncharacterized. The record is from RefSeq and is a predicted model, not a curated record. NCBI's taxonomy places the organism in Eukaryota, Metazoa, Chordata, Aves, Accipitriformes, Cathartidae. The transcript has 5 exons.
CUGGAGCGUGGAGGAGGAACGCAGCCUGUGAGCAGUUGUUUCUCUGCUAUGAUCUGUAACCGUUUGAAAACACUGGGAAGGAAAGAUGCUCUGAAGGUGGAGAACACUUACUAAGAAGUCAGCAAAGCAGUAUAAGGGCAGAACUGGUUGGUUGUGAGACUCGGGGGAAUAAGAAGUAGGUGGUGCUCAAUUCUGCUUUUGAAAGAGUAUCCUAAUUGGAAACCAAAACAACUGAUUCAUAUGGUAGAACAGCUUCACUUGGGAAUGAAUGCUAAUGUAGGAGAUUUCUGAAGGAUUCUCUGAAAGAGGUGCUUUUAGCCCUGGAAGUGCUCAGUGUGUGGGCCAACGUGACG